This 561-nucleotide ribosomal RNA is filed under the name uncultured bacterium. RNAcentral's name for it is "bacterial SSU rRNA". It matches the Rfam family "Bacterial small subunit ribosomal RNA", at positions 106 to 666 of the family's 1533-position model. The record is from RNAcentral.
GUGCGUAACGCGUAUACAACUUACCUUUAACAGGGGGAUAGCCCGAAGAAAUUCGGAUUAAUACCCCAUAACAUAUUUUAUAGCAUUAUAAGAUAUUGAAAACUCUGGUGGUUAGAGAUGGGUAUGCGUGACAUUAGCUAGUUGGUGAGGUAACGGCUCACCAAGGCGACGAUGUCUAGGGGUUCUAAAAGGAAGAUCCCCCACACUGGUACUGAGACACGGACCAGACUCCUACGGGAGGCAGCAGUGAGGAAUAUUGGGCAAUGGAGGCAACUCUGACCCAGCCAUGCCGCGUGCAGGAAGACGGCCCUAUGGGUUGUAAACUGCUUUUCUGUAAGAAUAAAUGUAUCUUCGUGAAGAUAUUUGAAGGUAUUACAGGAAUAAGCAUCGGCUAACUCCGUGCCAGCAGCCGCGGUAAUACGGAGGAUGCAAGCGUUAUCCGGAUUUAUUAGGUUUAAAGGGUCCGUAGGCGGUAUUAUAAGUCAGUGGUGAAAUCCUGCAGCUUAACUGUAGAACUGCCAUUGAUACUGUAGUACUUGAGUUUAGUUGAGGUAGGCGGAA